This 742-nucleotide long non-coding RNA is filed under the name Volvox carteri. RNAcentral describes it as "long non-coding RNA (VCAR_LNC000722)". Lineage: Eukaryota; Viridiplantae; Chlorophyta; Chlorophyceae; Chlamydomonadales; Volvocaceae. The record is from RNAcentral.
CGAGGGGCAAAAACACAACCCACUGGAAAUGCGACACGAAUGGCGCCACUAAGGGAGGAAGGCGGUGCCGACAGAUAACCCGCAGCAUCCAGCCAACCCAGGUAGCAUGCAGGUACGUAUUUCUCUUGGCGUUGAAGUUACCCCCCCAAAAAAAAAAAACUGAGCACAAAAAAAGUGAGCUCAAAGCCUAAUCAACUCCGCCUCCAUUGCUCCACUACGGCACGCAUGGCGCAAGGACGGAGAGCGGAGGAGAGGGGAGGGGGGAAGACGACCCACGUGAACGAGUGAAGCUGAUGCCAAGGAGGAUAUAGACUGACACGCCAGGAGUGAGCAAGCAAGCAAGCAUGCAUGCAAUAACUAAGCAGUCGCGACUUAUGAAGAAGAACUCUUCGCGGUGAGGGGAGCGGGGUGGGAAAAAAACCCAGCUCUACACCCCUCCCUACUCCACAUAAUUCCCCCAGAUGUCAUGUGCCGCCCUCCUCCCUCCCUCCAACAUUCCCCCAUCCCUCCCCACACCCCCGUUUCCGUACACCUUGAUGGCCACAUCCACGCCGUGCCACCGCGCGUGGUACACGGUGCCGUAGCUGCCUUGCCCCAGCACCUGCCCCACCACCAGCCCCUCGAACAUCUCCGUGAGCCCCUGGACGGGGUUGAUGGCGAUGUUGGGCGGCAGGCGGCGGCCGGUGGUGAGGAGGGCGGAGGGCGCCAGGGAGUUCACUGCGCUGUUGGCGGGCGGGUCGGG